Molecule: ribosomal RNA, 253 nt
Filed under: uncultured bacterium
Lineage: Bacteria
Description: partial 16S ribosomal RNA
Rfam family: Bacterial small subunit ribosomal RNA
Source: RNAcentral
UACAGAGGGUGCGAGCGUUGUCCGGAAUCACUGGGCGUAAAGGGCGCGUAGGCGGCUUGAUAAGCGUGCGGUGAAAGCCCGGGGCUCAACCCCGGGUCGGCCGUGCGAACUGUCGAGCUGGAGCACUGUAGAGGCAGGUGGAAUUCCGGGUGUAGUGGUGAAAUGCGUAGAGAUCCGGAGGAACACCAGUGGCGAAGGCGGCUCGCUGGGCUUUACCUGACGCUGAGGCGCGAAAGCGUGGGGAGCGAACCGG